GACGAACGCUGGCGGCGUGCCUAAUACAUGCAAGUCGAGCGCAGGAAAUCGACGGAACCCUUCGGGGGGAAGUCGACGGAAUGAGCGGCGGACGGGUGAGUAACACGUAAAGAACCUGCCCUCAGGUCUGGGAUAACCACGAGAAAUCGGGGCUAAUACCGGAUGGGUCAUCGGACCGCAUGGUCCGAGGAUGAAAGGCGCUUCGGCGUCGCCUGGGGAUGGCUUUGCGGUGCAUUAGCUAGUUGGUGGGGUAAUGGCCCACCAAGGCGACGAUGCAUAGCCGACCUGAGAGGGUGAUCGGCCACACUGGGACUGAGACACGGCCCAGACUCCUACGGGAGGCAGCAGUAGGGAAUCUUCCACAAUGGACGAAAGUCUGAUGGAGCAACGCCGCGUGAACGAUGAAGGCCUUCGGGUCGUAAAGUUCUGUUGUAAGGGAAGAACAAGUGCCGCAGGCAAUGGCGGCACCUUGACGGUA
RNAcentral lists this ribosomal RNA (478 nucleotides) under uncultured bacterium. RNAcentral's name for it is "bacterial SSU rRNA". It matches the Rfam family "Bacterial small subunit ribosomal RNA", at positions 28 to 477 of the family's 1533-position model. The record is from RNAcentral.